GACGAACGCUGGCGGCGUGCUUAACACAUGCAAGUCGAACGGAAAGGCCCUGCGUUUGUGGGGUGCUCGAGUGGCGAACGGGGGAGUAACACGUGAGUAACCUGCCCUUGACUGUGGGAUAACUUCAGGGAACUGGGGCGAAUACCGGAUAGAAGCUCCUGCUGCAUGGGGGUGGUUGGAAAGAGUCGGCGGUGGGGGAUGGACUCGCGGCUUAUCAGCUUGUUGGUGGGGUAGUGGCUUACCAAGGCUUUGACGGGUAGCCGGCCUGAGAGGGUGACCGGCCACAUUGGGACUGAGAUACGGCCCAGACUCCUACGGGAGGCAGCAGUGGGGAAUCUUGCACAAUGGGCGGACGCCUGAUGCAGCAACGCCGCGUGCGGGAUGACGGCCUUCGGGUUGUAAACCGCUUUCGCCUGUGACGAAGCGUGAGUGACGGUAAUGGGUAAAGAAGCACCGGCUAACUACGUG
Molecule: ribosomal RNA, 468 nt
Filed under: uncultured bacterium
Lineage: Bacteria
Description: partial 16S ribosomal RNA
Rfam family: Bacterial small subunit ribosomal RNA
Source: RNAcentral